Long non-coding RNA from Carlito syrichta (Philippine tarsier), 397 nucleotides. RefSeq lists it as uncharacterized. Lineage: Eukaryota; Metazoa; Chordata; Mammalia; Primates; Tarsiidae. The transcript is spliced from 2 exons. The record is from RefSeq and is a predicted model, not a curated record.
CCCCCGGAGGAAGCGGAGCGCCCGGGAAAGGAGCGUCUUGGAGACCAGCCCGGGCCACGGGCGAGGCCCCGGCUCCCCCAUGCAGCAAAAAGUGACCGGGCGCGAAAAAGGAAGAAAAGAAAGGACAAAAAGCCGCUGUCCGAGAAAGGCCCGUCAAAGAGCGCAGCCCGUCAGGAGGGAAGCGGGAGUCGCCGCGGACGCUGGGGACAGCCCUCCCGUCCCGUUUGGCCCCAUUCGUGCGGAGGCGCCUGGCCGUUGUAGAGAGUCGGAGGGAGGCCUCGCAAAAGCAGCUUUCUUCCUGAACCACUUCAGAAUAAGUGACACUGGAGGCUGAGGCACUCGAGAACCCCUCUCUUAAAAAAAAAAUAAGUUGCAGAAGAUUCCUCUUGCCCCAAAA